Molecule: ribosomal RNA, 764 nt
Filed under: uncultured bacterium
Lineage: Bacteria
Description: bacterial SSU rRNA
Rfam family: Bacterial small subunit ribosomal RNA
Source: RNAcentral
AGAGUUUGAUCAUGGCUCAGAACAAACGCUGGCGGCGUGCCUAACACAUGCAAGUCGCACGAGAAAUCUUGAGCAAUCGAGAGAGUAAAGUGGCGCACGGGUGAGUAGCGCGUGGGUAACCUACCCUUGGGUUGGGGAUAACUCCUCGAAAGGGGUGCUAAUACCGGGUAAUAUUCUGACCUCUUCGGAGAUUGGAAUCAAAGGGGGCCUCUGCAUGCAAGCUUCCGCCUAAGGAUGGGCCCGCGUACCAUUAGCUAGUUGGUAGGGUAAUGGCCUACCAAGGCGACGAUGGUUAGCUGGUCUGAGAGGAUGGCCAGCCACACUGGAACUGAGACACGGUCCAGACUCCUACGGGAGGCAGCAGUGGGGAAUCUUGCGCAAUGGGGGAAACCCUGACGCAGCAACGCCGCGUGGGUGAUGAAGGCCUUCGGGUCGUAAAGCCCUGUCAGGUGGAAAGAAUCGUGUCGGUACGAACAAUACCGAUGCUUGACGGUACCACCGGAGGAAGCACCGGCUAACUCCGUGCCAGCAGCCGCGGUAAUACGGAGGGUGCAAGCGUUGUUCGGAAUUAUUGGGCGUAAAGCGCGUGUAGGCGGUCAGGCAAGUCAGAUGUGAAAGCCUUUCGCUUAACGAAAGAAAUGCAUUUGAAACUACCUGGCUGGAGUUCGGUAGAGGAGAGUGGAAUUCCCGGUGUAGAGGUGAAAUUCGUAGAUAUCGGGAGGAACACCAGUGGCGAAGGCGGCUCUCUGGCCCGAUACUGACGC